CAAUAGCGUAUAUUAAAGUUGUUGCGGUAAAAAAGCUCGUAGUUGGAUUUCUACCGAAGAUAGCCGGUCGGGUCUUCGACCUUGUAUCUGGUUUUGUCUUUGGUAUCCUCAUAGGGAACGUUUCUGCGCUUUAUUGCGUGGUGCGGUAUCUAUGACUUUUACUUUGAGGAAAUUAGAGUGUUCACGGCAGGCAAACGCCUUGAAUAUACUAGCAUGGAAUAAUAACAUAGGAUCUUCGUCCUAUUUUGUUGGUUUCUAGGGCUAAGAUAAUGAUUAAUAGGGAUAAUUGGGGGCAUCUGUAUCAACGCGUCAGAGGUGGAAUUCUUGGAUUGCGUUGCGACAAACUACUGCGAAAGCAUUUGCCAAGGAUGUUUUCAUUGA
RNAcentral lists this ribosomal RNA (381 nucleotides) under uncultured eukaryote. Its description in RNAcentral is "partial 18S ribosomal RNA". It matches the Rfam family "Eukaryotic small subunit ribosomal RNA", at positions 592 to 976 of the family's 1831-position model. The record is from RNAcentral.